GUCCACUCUGUUCCUGCUCCCGGUGGGGCUGCAGCCAGCACCCUUCAUGGCAGCCAGGCCCAGUCAGCUGAUAUGGAUCCCAAGAGGGCCCAAGGCCCCAGGGGCUCUGGGCAAGUUCCUUGGCUACAGGAAGAGGCCUCCUCUGCACUUGUCCAGCCACCCGAGUGAUUGACUCCACUUCACAGGAAAGGAGACCCUGAGAGAGAAUGGAACUGGGUCAAGGUCUCCCAGAGUCGGUGCUGAAGCUGGGUAGGAACCUACAUUCCUGAUUCCUAGACCAGAAAUGAGAGAGAGGGGGGCGCUCAUUCGUUCAUCCAUUCACACCUUCAAGGAUUGAGCACCUGGGACAGCAGCAGGAAGAAGGUAGACCUGGUUCCCGCCCUCGGGAGCUCACAGUCUCCGAACGGGUCAGACACGCAGCCCGACCAGGGAAGGCCAUUAGAGUGGGGUGGACGUGGACGGCAGAGAAGAGAGUUAAAGCAGCUCAAGAUAACGGGCCGGAGAGAGUGGGGAGUUCAGGGAGCUGCUGGUAAGAUUAAGGCAGGGAAAGUAGGGAGCACGGAAGAGGUGGGAUCCUGAGUACCCUGCUUUCCUUCCCAGGGUAAUGAGGAGAGGCAUCCCCUACCCCCACUUUCAAGCAAGGGAGGUGCGUCCUCGUCCUGGGGUUUCGAGCAGGUCUCUCCGAGCAGGUCCCUUCCUGGCCAGCCGGGCUGGGGCGGGGCGGAACAGGGGUAGGGUGGCGCGGCUGGGCGCAAAGGUCCAGCAGCGGGCCACGCAGGCGCCGGGCUGACCUGGCAAAACUUUGGCGUCUCUGAAAACCUCUGCUCACCCGCUCCCUUCUAGCGUGAGGGAGCCGGGCGGCCUCCUUCAGGCCCGGCAGUGGGACCGUCGCCGCCCGCCCCUCCCAUUGCAGCACCGGUACAGACGCGCUGACCCCGCGGCCGUGUCGCUGGGCGGCGUCCCGGAGCGGGUGGCGAGGUAUCUAACCGGGCGGGUUGAGGGCGGUGCCAGGGUUGGUCAAAGGUCCGCCCCGCCCCCUGCCUGGCCCGGCUUCGGGGUGGGGAACAGCGCAGGGAGGUGGGUAGCUGGGCUCCCAGGCACGUGGGUCUCUGCGGCGGCGGCUGGACGCAGGCACUGGCACCCGGGAGCCGCGGCGACUGCACGCCGGGCGGAGAAGCGCAGCGCAGGGGCGAGAGGAGCCCCUUGCGGCAACAGCACUGCCUGCCCAGAAAAAUGCUGGAGGCUAGGUGUGGCCCCAGGCCUGGGGACCUGUUUUUCCUGUUUCCUGCAGAGUUCCCUGCAGCCCAGUCCAGGUGUGUGCAUUCAUGAAUGAGGAACCCGAGCAGGCACUGAGCAUCCUGACCUGGAGAGCGGGGGCUGGUCAGGUACGUGUGGCGGGGGGGCGGGUGCGCUGGCUGGGAGGUGAGAGCCGGUGCGUGUGCUGUUGUGCCUGUGUCUGCCCUGAACUGGCUUAGAUCAAGGGGAUCCAAAGGCAGGUGCCCUGCUCUGCUCCCUCAUCCCAGGCUGUGAUGAAUUCAGGCUUUGAAGUCAGAUAGCUUUGGGUGUCAAGUCUAAUUUUUCCAAUGCCUGGCAGUGUAACCUUGUACAAAUAGCUUAACCUCUAUGGCAAUAUCUACCAAGGGGUGGGGAUGGGGGAUGACGAUGCUGUGUGAAAGCUGCUCAGCCCAGGUCUGGCCCCUACAAAGCAGGGUGGGUGGAGAAUCCUAAUCAGACUGACCCAGGUUCUGAGCCAGAUAAAAACCUGUGGCAGGUCUCAGACAGCCAACCCAUCUCCAGUGCGCCCAUGUCCAAUCCCCUCCCGCUGGCACUUCCCUGACCUGUCCAGAGAAAGGCAGAGUCUCCUGGGCUCCUGUGGCAGUUGAAGGAGAGACAGUCUAGGGACAUAAGCAGGUUCCAGGUGGGCCAGGACCCCUAGAGGGGCUGGGUUGUCCCCUGGUUACUUAGGGUCAGCAGCUAAGAAACCUUUAAGCAUUCUUGUCCUUGAGAGGCCCUCAGAGAAGCAAGUAAUUUGUAAGUAAUUUGAUCAAGGUUACAGCACUGGAGAUGGGCUGCAAAUCCUAUUCAGGUACAUCCCACAGUGGAAGUGGCUGAAGGAGGGAGGUAGUGACCUCCCUGUUUAUGGGAGUGUGCAGAAGCUGCAGAGGGCUUGUGCCUGUGUGUGCCUCCUCUGGGCCCCCAUAGCCUCUUGUGCUUGAUUCAUUCAUUCAUUCAUUCAUUCAUUCAUUCUCUCGUUCCUGUAAUCCUCCUGUGGUCGGGCCUCCUGCUGGAUGAUAGGGGCAGAGAAAAGCAUCAGAUGGACCCAGCCUUCAAAGAGCACCUGAAAUGUGUCGGGGUACAGGAUGGAAGGACAAAUUACCAACUGGCUGAGAAACAUCCUAAGGGGUGAUGGAAGGGAGAGCUUCAGAGAUUAGAAGAUCCUUUGGGACGUACGAAGGAGUGCAGUGUGGGUGGGUUCAGGGAAGGCU
Long non-coding RNA from Macaca fascicularis (crab-eating macaque), 2486 nucleotides. NCBI's taxonomy places the organism in Eukaryota, Metazoa, Chordata, Mammalia, Primates, Cercopithecidae. The record is from Ensembl.